This 253-nucleotide ribosomal RNA is filed under the name uncultured bacterium. Its description in RNAcentral is "partial 16S ribosomal RNA". It matches the Rfam family "Bacterial small subunit ribosomal RNA", at positions 524 to 776 of the family's 1533-position model. The record is from RNAcentral.
UACGGAGGGUGCAAGCGUUAUCCGGAUUCACUGGGUUUAAAGGGUGCGCAGGCGGCAGAGCGCGUCCACGCUGAAAUCUGUUGGCUUAACUGACAGGCGCGUGUGGAUACGGCUCAGCUCGAGGCACGGAGAGGGUGGGGGAACUCCUGGUGUGGUGGUGAAAUGCGUAGAGAUCAGGAAGAACACCCGUGGCGAAGGCGGCUCUCUGGGACGGUACUGACGCUGAGACGCGAAAGCGUGGGGAGCGAACAGG